This 1643-nucleotide long non-coding RNA is filed under the name Salmo salar (Atlantic salmon). RNAcentral's name for it is "lncRNA (ENSSSAG00000122226.1)". Lineage: Eukaryota; Metazoa; Chordata; Actinopteri; Salmoniformes; Salmonidae. The record is from RNAcentral.
GAACAGAACUACCCCUCCUCUCAGGUCCAUGAGAACAGAACUACCCCUCCUCUCAGGUCCAUGAGAAGAACUGAACUACCCCUCCUCUCAGGUCCAUGAGAAGAACAGGAGACAGAAAGAGACAGACUGGGAACAUUACAUGUCCAGGCUUUGACUGACAGAGGACUGGAAGGGACCCGUUGGGACUAACUCGUUAUCAUGCUAUUGAAGGACAACAACAGCCUUGACUGCCACCAAUAAAUAUAACAAUAUUUUUUAUUUAUUUACAAUAAACUUUUGAAAUAAUUAUAUACACAUCCGGCAACAUUGGAGUACCAGAUGAGGACCGGGGAAGAGACAGAACCAGAACCAGAACCAGGAGACAAUAACAGAAGGACGUCGCCGCCCCAAACCCACACCGAGACAAAGAGGCAGCCCAGAAUCCCCACGUCAGGACAUGCCAAGAAGGCUCCUCUCGACCUGGACAGACAAGACAACCAUGUAUUCUGCAACAGCAGUAUUGGAUCAGGACAGACAGACAGACGGACCGGACGGCCCAAGGAUCUGCCCCGACCACCACCCUUCUGAUCAGGACAGACAGACAGACGGACGGCCCAAGGAUCUGAUCAGGACAGACAGACAGACGGACGGCCUAAGGAUCUGAUCAGGACAGACAGACAGACAGACGGCCUAAGGAUCUGAUCAGGACAGACAGACAGACGGCCUAAGGAUCUGAUCAGGACAGACAGACAGAUGGCUGUCCCAACCACCACCCUUCUGGAAACCUGUGCCUUUAACCAACUCCAUCACAUCCAUUUUGCUUUUGUUUUCUGAUUGUUGUCCAAUUUUGGGUUGGAGCUCUGCUACUGGAUGCAUCUCCCGUACUGUCCUGCCCUCUAGUGGACAACUGGAUACAUCUUCCGUACUGUCCUGCCCCCUGGUGGACAACAGGAUACAUCUCCCGUACUGUCCUGCCCCCUGGUGGACAAGAGGAUACAUCUCCCGUACUGUCCUGCCCUCUAGUGGACAACAGGAUACAUCUCCCGUACUGUCCUGCCCCCUAGUGGACAACUGGAUACAUCUCCCGUACUGUCCUGCCCCCUGGUGGACAACAGGAUACAUCUCCCGUACUGUCCUGCCCUCUAGUGGACAACUGGAUACAUCUUCCGUACUGUCCUGCCCCCUGGUGGACAACAGGAUACAUCUCCCGUACUGUCCUGCCCUCUAGUGGACAACAGGAUACAUCUCCCGUACUGUCCUGCCCCCUGGUGGACAACUGGAUACAUCUCCCGUACUGUCCUGCCCCCUGGUGGACAACUGGAUACAUCUCCCGUACUGUCCUGCCCUCUGGUGGACAACUGGAUAUAUCUCCCGCACUGUCCUGCCCCCUGAUGGACAACAGGAUACAUCUCCCGUACUGUCCUGCCCCCUGGUGGACAACUGGAUACAUCUCCCGUACUGUCCUGCCCCCUGGUGGACAACUGGAUACAUCUCCCGUACUGUCCUGCCCCCUGGUGGACAACAGGAUACAUCUCCCGUACUGUCCUGCCCCCUAGUGGACAACUGGAUACAUCUCCCGUACUGUCCUGCCCCCUAGUGGACAACUGGAUACAUCUCCCGUACUGUCCUGCCCCCUAGUGGACAACUGGAUACAUCUCCCGUAC